UGGUCAAGUUAUUAAGGGUGCAGGGCGGAUGCCUUGGCACUAGGAGCCGAUGAAGGACGUGAUAAGCUGCGAUAAGCUUCGGGGAGUUGCACGUAAACUUUGAUCCGAAGAUUUCCGAAUGAGGAAACUCACUUAGAGUAAUGUCUAAGUAUCAUUAAGUGAAUACAUAGCUUAAUGAGGGGAACUCAGGGAACUGAAACAUCUAAGUACCUGAAGGAAGAGAAAGAAAUUCGAUUCCGUAAGUAGCGGCGAGCGAACGCGGAUUAGCCCAAACCAAUAAAGUUUUCUUUAUUGGGGUUGCGGACAUAUCAUAACGAAGAGGUAUCGUAAUUGAAGAGGUUUGGAAAGACUCACCACAGAAGGUAAUAGUCCUGUAUGUUAAACGAGAAGACUUCAGAUAUGAUCUGAAAAGAACCCCGGGAGGGGAGUGAAAUAGAACCUGAAACCCUGCACUUACAAGCUGUGGAAGCACAUUUCUUGUGUGACCGCGUACUUUUUGUAGAACGGGCCAACGAGUUACGUUAAGUAGCAAGGUUAAGCACUUAAGGUGCGGAGCCGUAGCGAAAGCGAGUUUUAACUGAGCGUUCAGUUACUUGACGUAGACCCGAAACCGGGCGACCUACCCAUGAGCAGGAUGAAGCGAAAGUAAAAUU
RNAcentral lists this ribosomal RNA (653 nucleotides) under Clostridioides difficile. RNAcentral's name for it is "partial 23S ribosomal RNA". It matches the Rfam family "Bacterial large subunit ribosomal RNA", at positions 1 to 763 of the family's 2925-position model. The record is from RNAcentral. Lineage: Bacteria; Bacillati; Bacillota; Clostridia; Peptostreptococcales; Peptostreptococcaceae.